Molecule: long non-coding RNA, 539 nt
Filed under: Nicotiana benthamiana
Lineage: Eukaryota; Viridiplantae; Streptophyta; Magnoliopsida; Solanales; Solanaceae
Description: long non-coding RNA (NBEN_LNC010387)
Source: RNAcentral
AAGAAAACAAAAAGAAUAAGGAGAAUGUGGACUUGAUCUAUUUAAUAACUAAUAAGUAUGCUUUCAGUGAACUCAAAUGUUGCUGCUUCAUUUGAUAAUCAAAUACACCAGAAAUGUCCACAUGCAACUCAGUGCAAAUUUCUACCAUUGAACUCCAGUCCUCAUGCAUGGUCAGAAUCGUAUACGUCUGAAGUAUUAAUUCUACGUAAAUUUCUUACUUACAGUAAUUGGAUUAAAACUUUGAUUUACAGAAACUUGAACCAUCUUUCUCCAAACAUCACUUGUUACCGAGGCAUCGGUAGUUACAACAUGCAAAGUUGCAUUUCAAAUCCAGUAAGGUACUCUCGCUGCUUAAGGGAGAAACAGCGAAAUUCCGAAGAUACUUACACCAAGCAUUCUUGCCAUUGGCACAACUGCUGAUUAAGGGAGAAACAGCGGAAUUCCGAAGAUACUGACACCAAGCAUUGUUGCCAUGUUAGGAUGAAUCAUCCCAGAACCCUUUGCCAUGCCCCCGACUCUUAUUCGAGUUCCUCUGACCU